CGAACCCGUGGGAGCCUCCCCAACCCCGCAGUCCCAGCGGCAAACUGUGCUUGGUCGGACGGAUGCCCGCGCGGAGAUGUUUGUCAGCUCUCAGAGGCAGGCGGAGCCGGGAUCCCAUCCCCAGUGGCAGAUGAGAGGCCUGGAUGACCUGCGCAAGAGAUCCGUGCGUGGAGGUGCGGCCAGCAAGUCCCGGGCUAUGCUCCACGGUCGCUCCGGGGUCUGCACAUCACCUGCCCGGGUGGCAACCGGUUGAAGGCUUCCAAAUGUCCGACACCCCUCUCGAUCCUCCAAUCCCAGCUCCCCACCUGCCCAUCACCCCAUCACUAGGAAAGGAG
Molecule: long non-coding RNA, 335 nt
Filed under: Homo sapiens (human)
Lineage: Eukaryota; Metazoa; Chordata; Mammalia; Primates; Hominidae
Description: HSALNT0224354
Source: RNAcentral